GGGUGAGUAACGCGUGAGUAACCUGCCUUACACAAGGGGAUAGCCUCUGGAAACGGAGAAUAAUACCCUAUGAAACUAUCUUAUCGCAUGAAAAGAUAGUCAAAGUGUUUUAGCGGUGUAAGAUGGACUUGCGUCUGAUUAGCUAGUUGGUGAGAUAACAGCCCACCAAGGCAACGAUCAGUAGCCGGCUUGAGAGAGUGUACGGCCACAUUGGGACUGAGACACGGCCCAG
This 232-nucleotide ribosomal RNA is filed under the name uncultured Eubacteriales bacterium. Its description in RNAcentral is "uncultured Clostridiales bacterium partial 16S ribosomal RNA". It matches the Rfam family "Bacterial small subunit ribosomal RNA", at positions 104 to 334 of the family's 1533-position model. Lineage: Bacteria; Bacillati; Bacillota; Clostridia; Eubacteriales. The record is from RNAcentral.